This 253-nucleotide ribosomal RNA is filed under the name uncultured bacterium. RNAcentral describes it as "partial 16S ribosomal RNA". It matches the Rfam family "Bacterial small subunit ribosomal RNA", at positions 524 to 776 of the family's 1533-position model. The record is from RNAcentral.
AACGUAGGAGGCGAGCGUUAUCCGGAUUCACUGGGCGUAAAGCGCGUGCAGGCGGUUCGACAAGUUGGGCGUGAAAGCUCCCGGCUCAACUGGGAGAGGACGUCCAAUACUGUCGGGCUAGAGGAAGGGAGAGGGAGGUGGAAUUCCCGGUGUAGCGGUGAAAUGCGUAGAGAUCGGGAGGAACACCAGUGGCGAAGGCGGCCUCCUGGCCCUUUCCUGACGCUCAGACGCGAAAGAUAGGGGAGCAAACCGG